GCAGCACCUGCGAGGGAAGGGGAAAAAAGAAAACGUCGUCCUUGCUUUGCCUGUGGGUGCUUAUGUGAUGGAUGCACAGACGUGCAGGUCCUGGGCUGCAGCCCACGGGUGGCUGUGUGGACCAGAACCACUUCCCUGCUCUGCACGCAGUUCUUUGCGUGGCACGAUAAGCACGGGUUGCAAGUGUCCAUCUACUCGAGACCUGUCCCAACAGGAUCUCAGCCACUGCUUGAUGAUUCACUGAAUUAAAGAGCAAAGUGUUCUGACAUUUCUGUUGAACAGAAAUAAAUGUUGUGGAAUAAAA
Molecule: long non-coding RNA, 304 nt
Organism: Alligator mississippiensis (American alligator)
Lineage: Eukaryota; Metazoa; Chordata; Crocodylia; Alligatoridae
Exons: 2
Source: RefSeq, a predicted model, not a curated record